RNAcentral lists this ribosomal RNA (269 nucleotides) under uncultured bacterium. RNAcentral describes it as "partial 16S ribosomal RNA". It matches the Rfam family "Bacterial small subunit ribosomal RNA", at positions 524 to 792 of the family's 1533-position model. The record is from RNAcentral.
UACGGAGGGUACGAACGUUAAUCGGAAUUACUGGGCGUAAAGCGCGCGUAGGCGGUUUGAUAAGUGGGAUGUGAAAGCCCCGGGCUUAACCUGGGAACUGCAUUCCAAACUGUCAGACUAGAGUAUGGUAGAGGCUGGUAGAAUUUCCUGUGUAGCGGUGAAAUGCGUAGAUAUAGGAAGGAUACCGAUGGCGAAGGCAGCCAGCUGGACCAAUACUGACGCUGAGGUGGCGAAAAGCGUGGGGAGCAACAGGAUUAAGAUACCCCGUA